RNAcentral lists this ribosomal RNA (151 nucleotides) under uncultured bacterium. RNAcentral's name for it is "partial 16S ribosomal RNA". The record is from RNAcentral.
CGCUGUGUAUUCUGCUCUUGCGGCGAAGUCCUGAUGCAGCCAUGCCGCGUGAGUGAUGAGGCCUUCGGGUUGUAAGCUCUUUUAUUAGGGACGAUGGGACGGGGCCUCUAUUUGCCUUUGUGGGAAAAUCGGAUUUGGGGGGAGAGGGGAA